RNAcentral lists this ribosomal RNA (241 nucleotides) under uncultured bacterium. RNAcentral describes it as "partial 16S ribosomal RNA". It matches the Rfam family "Bacterial small subunit ribosomal RNA", at positions 92 to 334 of the family's 1533-position model. The record is from RNAcentral.
CGACCGGCGCACGGGUGCGUAACGCGUAUGCGACCUACCUUUAACAGGGGGAUAACACUGAGAAAUUGGUACUAAUACCCCAUAAUAUCAUAGAAGGCAUCUUUUAUGGUUGAAAAUUCCGAUGGUUAGAGAUGGGCAUGCGUUGUAUUAGCUAGUUGGUGGGGUAACGGCUCACCAAGGCGACGAUACAUAGGGGGACUGAGAGGUUAACCCCCCACACUGGUACUGAGACACGGACCAG